GGAGCGCAGUGUGGUGCAGUGCGGAGGACGCAGGAAUGCGGGGACGAGUGGCGGAGCGUGACUGAAUAGGCUGCGACGAAGGGAGAGUAUGAAGACGCCAGCAGGGCGCCGAGAACCGGUGAGAAAACCUGGUCUGAGCGAGGCUAAAGGACAUGCCAGUUACGUGAUUUGGAAGUGGUCCAGGUAAAGGAGGACAGUGCUGGUUUUCGACUCCCUGUUUGACCUUAACAUCAUCCCUGCUACCAUCCCCAUGAUGCAGAAGUACAAACUGCAAAGACAGAACUUUGCCUUGCUCUCCCCUGGGUUCCCAGUGGCUGGCACUCAGCAGACAAUCAGUGCACACUGUGGCUCAUUACAGCUGCGGGCCUGUGGAAGAGAGGUGCCCUUGGAGAGGCCAAGGAGACCCCGCCGUCAUCAGACAUCACACCUCUAGCUCCCGUACACCUGCAUCUUCUUUAAAACUGAUGGAGCCAAAGGCAGUCCUGGGAACUCUUGAACUCUUCUCUGAAGGUCUGUUUCACGGAUUCUUCACCCCUCUGGCCUUCAGUAAGCAUUUGAUUCCCGGCUUCUGAUAAAGGAGGUCCUGUGAGGAACAGAGCCUAUUUAUUCUAUCUUGCUCUGUCGCCUCUAAUGUGCUGUCACACAAGUGACUUGCUGUGUGAGGCUAGAAAGGAAACAAUAAAAUGCGCCAUUAAGAGCUGC
Molecule: long non-coding RNA, 702 nt
Organism: Talpa occidentalis (Iberian mole)
Lineage: Eukaryota; Metazoa; Chordata; Mammalia; Eulipotyphla; Talpidae
Exons: 6
Source: RefSeq, a predicted model, not a curated record